RNAcentral lists this ribosomal RNA (440 nucleotides) under uncultured bacterium. Its description in RNAcentral is "partial 16S ribosomal RNA". It matches the Rfam family "Bacterial small subunit ribosomal RNA", at positions 338 to 795 of the family's 1533-position model. The record is from RNAcentral.
CCUACGGGAGGCAGCAGUGGGGAAUAUUGCACAAUGGGGGAAACCCUGAUGCAGCGACACCGCGUGAGUGAAGAAGUAAUUCGUUAUGUAAAGCUCUAUCAGCAGGGAAGAAAAUUACGGUACCUGAGUAAGAAGCCCCGGCUAACUACGUGCCAGACGACGCGGUAAUACGUAGGGGGCAAGCGUGCUCCGGAUUUACUGGGUGUAAAGGGAGCGUAGGCGGCAGUGGAAGUGUGGAGUGAAAGGCGGGGGCUCAACCCCAGCACUGCUGUGGAAACUGGACGGCUGGAGUGUAGGAGAGGUAAGGGGAAUUCCUGGUGUAGCGGUGAAAUGCGUAGAUAUUAGGAGGAACACCAGUUGCGAAGGCGGCUUACUGGACUGUAACGGACGUUGAGGCUCGAAGGCGUGGGGAGCAAACAGGAUUAGAUACCCCUGUAGUC